This 440-nucleotide ribosomal RNA is filed under the name uncultured bacterium. RNAcentral describes it as "partial 16S ribosomal RNA". It matches the Rfam family "Bacterial small subunit ribosomal RNA", at positions 338 to 795 of the family's 1533-position model. The record is from RNAcentral.
CCUACGGGAUGCAGCAGUGGGGAAUAUUGCACAAUGGGGGAAACCCUGAUGCAGCGACGCCGCGUGAGGGAAGAAGUAUUUCGGUAUGUAAAGAUCUAUCAGCAGGGAAGAAAAUGACGGUACCUGAUUAAGAAGCCCCGACUAACUACGUGCCAGCAGCCGCGGGAAUACGUAGGGGGCAAGCGUUAUCCGGAUUUACGGGGUGUAAAGGGAGCGUAGACGGCAGCACAAGUCUGGAGUGAAAUGCCGGGGCUUAACCCCGGAACUGCUUUGGAAACUGUGCAGCUAGAGUGCAGGAGAGGUAAGUGGAAUUCCUAGUGUAGCGGUGAAAUGCGUAGAUAUUAGGAAGAACACCAGUGGCGAAGGCGGCUUACUGGACUGUAACUGACGUUGAGGCUCGAAAGCGUGGGGAGCAAACAGGAUUAGAUACCCCUGUAGUC